AUUGAACGCUGGCGGCAGGCCUAACACAUGCAAGUCGAGCGGAGGAAGGGAGCUUGCUCCUUGAUUCAGCGGCGGACGGGUGAGUAAUGCCUAGGAAUUUGCCUGGUAGUGGGGGAUAACUUCCGGAGACGGGCGCUAAUACCGCAUACGUCCUGAAGGAGAAAGUGGGGGAUCUUCGGACCUCACGCUAUUAGAUGAGCCUAGGUCGGAUUAGCUAGUUGGUGGGGUAAAGGCCUACCAAGGCGACGAUCCGUAACUGGUCUGAGAGGAUGAUCAGUCACACUGGAACUGAGACACGGUCCAGACUCCUACGGGAGGCAGCAGUGGGGAAUAUUGGACCAUGGGCGCAAGCCUGAUCCAGCCAUGCCGCGUGUGUGAAGAAGGUCUUCGGAUUGUAAAACACUUUAAGUUGGGAGGAAAGGAAGUAAGUUAAUACCUUGCUGUUUUGACGGUACCAACAGAAUAAGCACCGGCUAACUUCGUG
Molecule: ribosomal RNA, 484 nt
Filed under: uncultured bacterium
Lineage: Bacteria
Description: partial 16S ribosomal RNA
Rfam family: Bacterial small subunit ribosomal RNA
Source: RNAcentral